Molecule: ribosomal RNA, 486 nt
Filed under: uncultured bacterium
Lineage: Bacteria
Description: bacterial SSU rRNA
Rfam family: Bacterial small subunit ribosomal RNA
Source: RNAcentral
AUAAACGCUGGCGGCGUGCAUAACACAUUCAAGUCGAACGAACUGAAACGGAAGCUUGCUUUUGUUGAAAGUUAGUGGCGACGGGUGAGUAAUGCGUGAGCAACCUGCCUAUCUGUGGGGAAUAACACAUGGAAACGUGUGCUAAUACCGCAUAACACAACCUGAUCGCAUGUUUAGGUUGUCAAAGAUUUAUCGCAGAUAGAUGGGCUCGCGUCUGAUUAGCUGGUUGGUGAGGUAACGGCUCACCAAGGCGACGAUCAGUAGCCGGACUGAGAGGUUGAACGGCCACACUGGAACUGAGACACGGUCCAGACUCCUACGGGAGGCAGCAGUGAGGAAUAUUGGUCAAUGGUCUGACGACUGAACCAGCCAUGCCGCGUGAAGGUGACGGCCCUAUGGGUCUUAAACUUCUUUUGUAAGGGAGCAAUAAGGUGUACGUGUACAUCGAUGAGAGUACCUUACGAAUAAGCAUCGGCUAACUCCGUG